RNAcentral lists this ribosomal RNA (639 nucleotides) under uncultured Actinomycetes bacterium. RNAcentral's name for it is "bacterial SSU rRNA". It matches the Rfam family "Bacterial small subunit ribosomal RNA", at positions 232 to 885 of the family's 1533-position model. The record is from RNAcentral. Lineage: Bacteria; Bacillati; Actinomycetota; Actinomycetes.
CGCGGCCUAUCAGCUUGUUGGUGAGGUAACGGCUCACCAAGGCAUCGACGGGUAGCUGGUCUGAGAGGAUGAUCAGCCACACUGGGACUGAGACACGGCCCAGACUCCUACGGGAGGCAGCAGUAGGGAAUAUUGCACAAUGGGCGAAAGCCUGAUGCAGCAACGCCGCGUGCGGGAAGAAGGCCCUAGGGUUGUAAACCGCUUUCAGCAGGGAAGAAAAUGACGGUACCUGCAGAAGAAGGUGCGGCCAACUACGUGCCAGCAGCCGCGGUGACACGUAGGCACCAAGCGUUGUCCGGAUUUAUUGGGCGUAAAGAGCUCGUAGGCGGUUCAGUUAGUCGGGUGUGAAAACUCUGGGCUCAACCCAGAGACGCCACUCGAUACUGCUGUGACUAGAGUGCGGUAGGGGAGCGGGGAAUUCCUAGUGUAGCGGUGAAGUGCGCAGAUAUUAGGAGGAACACCAGUGGCGAAGGCGCCGCUCUGGGCCGUAACUGACGCUGAGGAGCGAAAGCGUGGGUAGCAAACAGGAUUAGAUACCCUGGUAGUCCACGCCGUAAACGUUGGGCACUAGGUGUGGGUCUCAACCAACGAGAUCCGCGCCGUCGCUAACGCAUUAAGUGCCCCGCCUGGGGAGUACGG